This 332-nucleotide long non-coding RNA is filed under the name Papio anubis (olive baboon). RNAcentral describes it as "lncRNA (ENSPANG00000042296.1)". Lineage: Eukaryota; Metazoa; Chordata; Mammalia; Primates; Cercopithecidae. The record is from RNAcentral.
UUUUUAAUUUGAUGGUGGAAAUACUAUUAAUUUCUGGUUUCAUUUUACCCUGUUCUUCCUCUUAGGUGCCUAAACAAUGAUAUCCUGAUUCGCUUUUGGCAAAUCUUAAUUACUUUUACCAACAGUCUCUACAAUUAAGAGGCUUAAGGAGACACGCAUUACUAAAAUCAAAGCUGUUCAUAUCUGCUGCUUUCUCACUGCUUCUGCAAAAGACUUGAGACAACUCACGAUGAAGUGCUCUGUAUCAGUCAGGGUGAUAUUGAUUGCAAGGGACAGAAACCCAAUCAGAAACUCACUGGAGUCAUGAGGAACACUUAUUGGCUCAGAUAACC